This 74-nucleotide transfer RNA is filed under the name Pyrinomonadaceae bacterium. RNAcentral's name for it is "tRNA-Ile". It matches the Rfam family "tRNA". From Rfam's summary of the family: Transfer RNA (tRNA) molecules are approximately 80 nucleotides in length. Their secondary structure includes four short double-helical elements and three loops (D, anti-codon, and T loops). The record is from RNAcentral. Lineage: Bacteria; Pseudomonadati; Acidobacteriota; Blastocatellia; Blastocatellales; Pyrinomonadaceae.
GGGCCAGUAGCUCAGCUGGUUAGAGCACGCGCUUGAUAAGCGCGGGGUCGCAAGUUCAAAUCUUGCCUGGCCCA